This 334-nucleotide unclassified non-coding RNA is filed under the name soil metagenome. Its description in RNAcentral is "partial contains 5.8S ribosomal RNA, internal transcribed spacer 2, and large subunit ribosomal RNA". The stretch from base 1 to 120 matches the Rfam family "5.8S ribosomal RNA", at positions 35 to 154 of the family's 154-position model. The record is from RNAcentral.
GAUGAAGAACGUAGCGAAAUGUGAUAAGUAAUGUGAAUUGCAGAAUUCAGUGAAUCAUCGAAUCUUUGAACGCACAUUGCGCCCGCCAGUAUUCUGGCGGGCAUGCCUGUUCGAGCGUCAUUUCAACCAUCAAGCCCCAGGCUUGUGUUGGAGCCCUGCGGCUGCCGCAGCCUCCCAAAACCAGUGGCGGGCUCGCUAUCACACCGAGUGCAGUAGUUUACUCUUCGCUCAGGGCGUGUGGCGGGUGCUAGCCGUAAAACCCCCAACUUCUCAAGGUUGACCUCGGAUCAGGCAGGAAUACCCGCUGAACUUAAGCAUAUCAAUAAGCGGAGGA